UUUCUUCUGUAAUUUGUGGAAAUUAUUGACUGGUUUUCACCUUUGUGAUGAUUUUCUCUAUCCAAAACCACACUCUGCAGCAAUGGCAAAAGACCCAGUUCGAGUUCUUGUCACUGGUGCUGCUGAAAAUCUUGGUUGUUCUGUUCACUAUUGCCUUCUUUUGGAAGCUUAUAAAAUACAUGUGGAGCUUCUUGAGCAUGGAGAAGGAGCCUGUGACUGUAUUGGUUACUGGUGCUGCAGGCAUGCUCAAAUCAAUCCUUUUAUUUCUUCCCCAUCCCCACCUGUUUUAAAAUAAAAAUAAAUAAAAAAUUACAACUUCAUUUUCUUAUAAUGGUUCGAUUCAAAAUUCAGAUGCCAUGUAUUGUCACUGCCACAAAACCAUCUUGGAAUAUUUCCUGAAUUUUUAAGCUCAUGAUAUCCAAUUUUAUGAUUUGAAAUAUUGGGCUAAGUAUCUAAGUAUUUGUCUGUCAACAUAAACUUGGAUCCGUUUCUGCAAGAAAAGCUAAAGAGAAUUGUCCCUCCCUCCCUCCCUCCCUCCACUUGAGCUCCCAAUUACAAUUAAAGUUAGUGCUGUGGACGACAAUCCUCGUAACUUCACUCACUCUCACAUAUAUUGUUCUCUAAAAUUAUUGGCUUCAUUUCUCAUCCUGUCACUGCCAGGAAUAUUUUUUUAUGCCUGUUUGUACCCUCCUUUUUCAGUUUUAACUCUAUUGUUUAUUUCAUUCUUGUCUCUAUAUCUUCCAAGUUCCACACACAAACAAAAUUGGCAUAGAGAGAAAAUUUCGAAUCUUCUACUUUUUCUUUUAAUUAAUGGGUGGUUUUGUAAAUCUGUCAAUAUUUAGCCAAAUCCAUCAAUAAUUAAUUCUGACUAGCUGUCACAUAAACUUUACACUUAUAAUUUAGUCCUAAAAAGUUUGCAACCACAUCUUUUAACACCUUUUAGACUUUUAAUACUGCAGCUGCAAGAGAGUUCAUUGGUUACUUACUUUACUUAUGGGACUUUGUUGUUGCAGAUAGGGAAGAACUAAAAAAUUCUAGCUUACUAUGCAUCAGAGAAUUAAGAUUUUAAUUACUAUAAUCUUUUGAGACUGCAUAGAGUUGAAGUUGAUGGGUGGCUUUUGCUGGUUUAAUGAUAUAUUGAUUUUGAAAUGAAACAGACUAAACUCAUGUAAGCAUAAAUCAUGUGACUUGUAGAAUGCUUGAGAUGAGAGUACAU
Non-coding RNA from Prunus avium (sweet cherry), 1216 nucleotides. The record is from RefSeq and is a predicted model, not a curated record. NCBI's taxonomy places the organism in Eukaryota, Viridiplantae, Streptophyta, Magnoliopsida, Rosales, Rosaceae.